AGUGAACGCUGGCGGUAGGCCUAACACAUGCGAGUCGAACGGCAGCACAGUAAGAGCUUGCUCUUACGGGUGGCGAGUGGCGGACGGGUGAGGAAUACAUCGGAAUCUACUUUUUCGUGGGGGAUAACGUAGGGAAACUUACGCUAAUACCGCAUACGACCUACGGGUGAAAGCAGGGGAUCUUCGGACCUUGCGCGAUUGAAUGAGCCGAUGUCGGAUUAGCUAGUUGGCGGGGUAAAGGCCCACCAAGGCGACGAUCCGUAGCUGGUCUGAGAGGAUGAUCAGCCUCACUGGAACUGAGACACGGUCCAGACUCCUACGGGAGGCAGCAGUGGGGAAUAUUGGACAAUGGGCGCAAGCCUGAUCCAGCCAUACCGCGUGGGUGAAGAAGGCCUUCGGGUUGUAAAGCCCUUUUGUUGGGAAAGAAAAGCAGCAGGUUAAUACCCCGCUGUUCUGACGGUACCCAAAGAAUAAGCACCGGCUAACUUCGUG
This 492-nucleotide ribosomal RNA is filed under the name uncultured bacterium. Its description in RNAcentral is "partial 16S ribosomal RNA". It matches the Rfam family "Bacterial small subunit ribosomal RNA", at positions 29 to 507 of the family's 1533-position model. The record is from RNAcentral.